ACAAAAACAUCUCCUUUUGUGUUUAUAUAAGGUAGGGCCUGCCCACUGAAAUUUAUUUGAAGGGCCGCGGUAUUAUGACCGUGCAAAGGUAGCAUAAUCAUUAGUCUUUUAAUUGAAGGCUGGAAUGAAUGGUUUGACGAGGUGAUGACUGUCUCAUUAUAAAAUAUAGAAGUUAACUUUUAAGUUAAAAGGCUUAAAUUUUAGUGGAGGACGAGAAGACCCUAUAGAGCUUUAUAUAUAGGUUUAGAUUUGUAUUUAGUAGUUUAUAAAAAUUUAGAUUUAUUAUAUUGGGUUGGGGUGACAUAAAGAUAUAAUUAACUCUUUAUUUUAAGAACAUUGAUGUAUGGAUUUUUUGAUCCAUUUUUAGUGAUUAUAAGAUUAAGUUACCUUAGGGAUAACAGCGUAAUUUUUCUUGAGAGUUCAUAUCAACAGAGAAGAUUGCGACCUCGAUGUUGGAUUAAGGAAUAUAAUUAGAUGCAGCAGUUUAAUUAAUAGGUCUGUUCGACCUUUAAAUUCUUACGUCAUCUGAGUU
This 532-nucleotide ribosomal RNA is filed under the name Poecilimon izmirensis. RNAcentral's name for it is "partial 16S ribosomal RNA". It matches the Rfam family "Bacterial large subunit ribosomal RNA", at positions 1807 to 2611 of the family's 2925-position model. Lineage: Eukaryota; Metazoa; Arthropoda; Insecta; Orthoptera; Tettigoniidae. The record is from RNAcentral.